This 497-nucleotide ribosomal RNA is filed under the name uncultured bacterium. RNAcentral describes it as "partial 16S ribosomal RNA". It matches the Rfam family "Bacterial small subunit ribosomal RNA", at positions 28 to 507 of the family's 1533-position model. The record is from RNAcentral.
GAUGAACGCUGGCGGCGUGCCUAAUACAUGCAAGUCGAGCGGACGGACGAUACUCUUGCUUCUCUGAUGUUAGCGGCGGACGGGUGAGUAACACGUGUAUAACCUACCUAUCAGACUGGGAUAUCUUCGGGAAUCCGGAGCUAAUCCCGGAUAAUCUUUUGAACCGCAUGGUUCAAUAGUGAAAGUCGGUCUUUCUGUCACUUCUAGAUGGUUCCGCGCUGCAUUAGAUAGUUGGUAAGGUAACGGCUUACCAAGGCAACGAUGCAUAGCCGACCUGAGAGGGGGAUCGGCCACACGGGAACUGAGACACGGUCCAGACUCCUAAGGGAGGCAGCAGUAGGGAAUGUUCCGCAAUGGGCGAAAGCCUGACGGAGCGACGCCGCGUGAGUGAUGAAGGUCUUCGGAUCGUAAAAAUCGGUUAUGAGGGAAGAACAGAUGUGGAAGUAACUGUGCACAGCUUGACGGUACCUAAUCAGAAAGCAACGGCUAACUACGUG